RNAcentral lists this ribosomal RNA (492 nucleotides) under uncultured bacterium. RNAcentral's name for it is "partial 16S ribosomal RNA". It matches the Rfam family "Bacterial small subunit ribosomal RNA", at positions 29 to 507 of the family's 1533-position model. The record is from RNAcentral.
AGUGAACGCUGGCGGUAGGCCUAACACAUGCAAGUCGAACGGCAGCACAGUAAGAGCUUGCUCUUACGGGUGGCGAGUGGCGGACGGGUGAGGAAUACAUCGGAAUCUACUUUUUCGUGGGGGAUAACGUAGGGAAACUUACGCUAAUACCGCAUACGACCUACGGGUGAAAGCAGGGGAUCUUCGGACCUUGCGCGAUUGAAUGAGCCGAUGUCGGAUUAGCUAGUUGGCGGGGUAAAGGCCCACCAAGGCGACGAUCCGUAGCUGGUCGGAGAGGAUGAGAGGCCACACUGGAACGGGGACACGGUCCAGACUCCCAAGGGAGGGAGGAGUGGGGAAUUUUCGGAAAGGGGGGGGAGCCUGACACAGCCCAGCCGGGGGGGUGAAGAAGGUCUUCGGGUUGUAAAACCCUUUUUUUUGGGAAGAAAAAAUGGCGGGUUAAACCCCGCCUUUUUGACGGUACCCAAAGAAAAAGCCACGGCUAACUUCGUG